Molecule: non-coding RNA, 415 nt
Filed under: Vibrio coralliirubri
Lineage: Bacteria; Pseudomonadati; Pseudomonadota; Gammaproteobacteria; Vibrionales; Vibrionaceae
Source: RNAcentral
UGUCGGAAGGAUUCUGACACGGAACAGGAAAGCACCAAGGAUUUGGUUAUCUUCAGGAUGAAGAUUUGGUUACUUAGGAUUGAGUGAUCAAGCAUGGAGCGUAAGGACAUUGUAGGGAUACAGCCAGUUAACAGGAAGUUAGCUGCAACGGAAUGACAAUGGACACCUUUAGGAUUAAAGGGUUGGAUUAGCAUCAGGACGAUGUAAAGGACACCGCUCACGGAACAAGUGAUGUGCGCUAACUAGGAUUGUUAGCUUUCAGGAUGAUUGGACACCGCUAGGACGGCGAAGUAAAGGAAAGAGCUGAAGGAUUACAGCCACUAUUAUGGAUGAUGCAUGGAGCAUUAAUUAGUAGCCGGACUGCUGCGAGUAAGACCCUAGCCCUGACACUUCGGUGUCGGGGCUUUUCUUUUUC